AACGAACGCUGGCGGCAUGCCUAACACAUGCAAGUCGAACGAGACCUUCGGAUCUAGUGGCGCACGGUUGCGUAACGCGUGGGAACCUGCCCUUAGGGUCGGAAUAACUCCCCGAAAGGGGUGCUAAUACCGGAUAAUGUCUUCUGACCAAAGAUUUAUCGCCUUUGGAUGGGCCCGCGUUGGAUUAGCUAGUUGGUAGGGUAAAAGCCUACCAAGGCGACGAUCCAUAGAUGGUAUGAGAGGAUGAUCAGCCACACUGGGACUGAGACACGGCCCAGAAUCCUACGGGAGGCAGCAGUGGGGAAUAUUGGAAAAUGGGCGAAAGCCUGAUCCAGCAAUGCCGCGUGAGUGAUGAAGGCCUUAGGGUUGUAAAGCUCUUUUAACCGGGAUGAUAAUGACAGUACCGGGAGAAUAAGCCCCGGCUAACUACGUG
Molecule: ribosomal RNA, 433 nt
Filed under: uncultured bacterium
Lineage: Bacteria
Description: partial 16S ribosomal RNA
Rfam family: Bacterial small subunit ribosomal RNA
Source: RNAcentral